GGGUCUAGAUCUUCCAAAACGACCUCCUCCGCGUCUACUCUCCAUAGUAGGAGAUGCCUGAUUGUCCACUGACUGGGAUACGAGGACAGAUGAGUCAAGUGUCUGUGAUGAGCUCACUGGGGGGGACUUGGAGCUGCAGCAAGGCGAAGUAAUCGAGAGAAUAGUUCAUCAACUGUGGAGACAGCCGGACUAGCCAAAAUCUGGUCACGUACUGAAUCAAGGUCAUUAGGGAGUCCUGCUAGUGUAAGAACUAGAAACAUCUUCUAUCGUUGCUCUUGUUGCUUUUCAAUACUAGCAAAAACUGGCAUCAACGUCUCAAAUUCUUCCAUGACUGCCUGUACCUGUCCCAAGUAAGUAGACAUAUC
This 365-nucleotide long non-coding RNA is filed under the name Nicotiana benthamiana. RNAcentral's name for it is "long non-coding RNA (NBEN_LNC028636)". The record is from RNAcentral. Lineage: Eukaryota; Viridiplantae; Streptophyta; Magnoliopsida; Solanales; Solanaceae.